AAGAAGAGUACUGUUACACAAUCAAGGUACUUGGAGUCAAACAGACAGGCCUGGAUGAGAUCUUUAAGGUCAGGGCCCUCCCCAAGGUACUUGGAGUCAAACAGACAGGCCUGGAUGAGAUCUUUAAGGUCAGGGCCCUCUGCAAGGCUCACAAAAUUAUUUUAGACCCAAGCCACCCCCUGUACCCGGACUUUGAACUACUCCCCUCUGGGCGCAGGUAUAGGGCACCCCUCAGCAGGAAAAACAGAACUAGACAAUAAUUUGUGCUAGGUGUGAUAUCCCUGCUAAAUAGCUCGGGCUAAUGUUCCUAUCGACUCAGUAAGGUCAGC
Molecule: long non-coding RNA, 329 nt
Organism: Oncorhynchus tshawytscha (Chinook salmon)
Lineage: Eukaryota; Metazoa; Chordata; Actinopteri; Salmoniformes; Salmonidae
Source: Ensembl